GCCCGGGUGGCGGAAUCGGUAGACGCGUCGGACUCAAAAUCCGAUGCCCGUUGAGGGCGUGUGGGUUCGAGUCCCACCCCGGGUA
Molecule: transfer RNA, 85 nt
Filed under: Rhodothermaceae bacterium
Lineage: Bacteria; Pseudomonadati; Rhodothermota; Rhodothermia; Rhodothermales; Rhodothermaceae
Description: tRNA-Leu
Rfam family: tRNA
About the family: Transfer RNA (tRNA) molecules are approximately 80 nucleotides in length. Their secondary structure includes four short double-helical elements and three loops (D, anti-codon, and T loops). Further hydrogen bonds mediate the characteristic L-shaped molecular structure. tRNAs have two regions of fundamental functional importance: the anti-codon, which is responsible for specific mRNA codon recognition, and the 3' end, to which the tRNAs corresponding amino acid is attached (by aminoacyl-tRNA synthetases). tRNAs cope with the degeneracy of the genetic code in two manners: having more than one tRNA (with a specific anti-codon) for a particular amino acid; and 'wobble' base-pairing, i.e. permitting non-standard base-pairing at the 3rd anti-codon position.
Source: RNAcentral